RNAcentral lists this ribosomal RNA (505 nucleotides) under uncultured bacterium. RNAcentral describes it as "partial 16S ribosomal RNA". It matches the Rfam family "Bacterial small subunit ribosomal RNA", at positions 28 to 507 of the family's 1533-position model. The record is from RNAcentral.
GACGAACGCUGGCGGCGUGCCUAAUACAUGCAAGUAGAACGCACAGUUUAUACCGUAGCUUGCUACACCAUAGACUGUGAGUUGCGAACGGGUGAGUAACGCGUAGGUAACCUGCCUGGUAGCGGGGGAUAACUAUUGGAAACGAUAGCUAAUACCGCAUAAUAUUGAUUAUUGCAUGAUAAUUGAUUGAAAGAUGCUAUUGCAUCACUACCAGAUGGACCUGCGUUGUAUUAGCUAGUAGGUGAGGUAACGGCUCACCUAGGCGACGAUACAUAGCCGACCUGAGAGGGUGAUAGGCCACACUGGGACUGAGACACGGCCCAGACUCCUACGGGAGGCAGCAGUAGGGGAUCUUCGGCAAUGGACGAAAGUCUGACCGAGCAACGCCGCGUGAGUGAAGAAGGUUUUCGGAUCGUAAAGCUCUGUUGUAAGAGAAGAACGGGUGUGAGAGUGGAAAGUUCACACUGUGACGGUAUCUUACCAGAAAGGGACGGCUAACUACGUG